GUAACAAGGUUUCCGUAGGUGAACCUGCGGAAGGAUCAUUACAUUUAGUAGCUUGCUACUGCUAAGAGGGUCUGUUAGGCUGUAUAGUAUUGCUACUGACGAGCAGCAUGAUCCUCUAAGUCAACCCUUGUCUUUUGCGUACCUACGUUUCCUCAGCGGGUAUAACCCGCUGGCUGGACAAAAUUAAAACCCUUGAAUAUUCAAUCAGUGUCUGAGAAACUUAAUAAUUACAACUUUCAACAACGGAUCUCUUGGUUCUGGCAUCGAUGAAGAACGCAGCGAAAUGCGAUAAGUAGUGUGAAUUGCAGAAUUCAGUGAAUCAUCGAAUCUUUGAACGCACAUUGCGCCCCUUGGUAUUCCAUGGGGCAUGCCUGUUCGAGCGUCAUUUGUACCCUCAAGCUCUGCUUGGUGUUGGGUGUUGUCUAUGCUUUUGCUUGGACUCACCUCAAAGCAAUUGGCAGCCAGUGUUUUGGCAUAGAAGCGCAGCACAUCUUGCACUUCCAGUCUUAAACACCAGCUUCCUAGUAAGUCCCUUUACGUUUGACCUCGGAUCAGGUAGGGAUACCCGCUGAACUUAAGCAUAUC
This 585-nucleotide ribosomal RNA is filed under the name Ampelomyces sp. LK-2010. RNAcentral describes it as "eukaryotic LSU rRNA". The stretch from base 232 to 385 matches the Rfam family "5.8S ribosomal RNA". The record is from RNAcentral. Lineage: Eukaryota; Fungi; Ascomycota; Dothideomycetes; Pleosporales; Phaeosphaeriaceae.